GUGGGUAUAGCUCAGUGAUAGAGAGAAUGCCUGGCAUGCACAAGGUCCUGGGUUCAACCCCCAGUACCUCCA
RNAcentral lists this transfer RNA (72 nucleotides) under Camelus bactrianus (Bactrian camel). It matches the Rfam family "tRNA". From Rfam's summary of the family: Transfer RNA (tRNA) molecules are approximately 80 nucleotides in length. Their secondary structure includes four short double-helical elements and three loops (D, anti-codon, and T loops). Lineage: Eukaryota; Metazoa; Chordata; Mammalia; Artiodactyla; Camelidae. The record is from Rfam by way of RNAcentral. RNAcentral also lists the same sequence under 2 other names.